RNAcentral lists this ribosomal RNA (1279 nucleotides) under uncultured bacterium. RNAcentral's name for it is "bacterial SSU rRNA". It matches the Rfam family "Bacterial small subunit ribosomal RNA", at positions 1 to 1257 of the family's 1533-position model. The record is from RNAcentral.
CAUAACUGUACCGGGGGGACCUCUAGAGAUUAGAGUUUGAUCCUGGCUCAGAUUGAACGCUGGCGGCAGGCCUAACACAUGCAAGUCGAGCGGCAGCACGGGAAGCUUGCUUCCUGGUGGCGAGCGGCGGACGGGUGAGUAAUGCAUAGAAAUCUGCCCGGUAGUGGGGGAUAACCUGGGGAAACCCAGGCUAAUACCGCAUACGUCCUACGGGAGAAAGCAGGGGCUCUUCGGACCUUGCGCUAUCGGAUGAGUCUAUGUCGGAUUAGCUUGUUGGUGAGGUAAUGGCUCACCAAGGCGACGAUCCGUAGCUGGUCUGAGAGGAUGAUCAGCCACAUCGGGACUGAGACACGGCCCGAACUCCUACGGGAGGCAGCAGUGGGGAAUAUUGGACAAUGGGCGAAAGCCUGAUCCAGCCAUGCCGCGUGUGUGAAGAAGGCCUUCGGGUUGUAAAGCACUUUCAGUGGGGAAGAAAGCCUUGGGGCUAAUACCCUCGAGGAAGGACAUCACCCACAGAAGAAGCACCGGCUAACUCCGUGCCAGCAGCCGCGGUAAUACGGAGGGUGCGAGCGUUAAUCGGAAUUACUGGGCGUAAAGCGCGCGUAGGCGGUCUGAUAAGCCGGUUGUGAAAGCCCCGGGCUCAACCUGGGAACGGCAUCCGGAACUGUCAGGCUAGAGUGCAGGAGAGGAAGGUAGAAUUCCCGGUGUAGCGGUGAAAUGCGUAGAGAUCGGGAGGAAUACCAGUGGCGAAGGCGGCCUUCUGGACUGACACUGACGCUGAGGUGCGAAAGCGUGGGUAGCGAACAGGAUUAGAUACCCUGGUAGUCCACGCCGUAAACGAUGUCGACUAGCCGUUGGGCUCCUUGAGAGCUUUGUGGCGCAGUUAACGCGAUAAGUCGACCGCCUGGGGAGUACGGCCGCAAGGUUAAAACUCAAAUGAAUUGACGGGGGCCCGCAUAAGCGGUGGAGCAUGUGGUUUAAUUCGAUGCAACGCGAAGAACCUUACCUACCCUUGACAUCGUGCGAACUUUCCAGGAGAUGGAUUGGUGCCUUCGGAGCGCACAGACAGGUGCUGCAUGGCUGUCGUCAGCUCGUGUUGUGAAUGUUGGGUUAAGUCCGUACGAGCGCACCCUUGUCCUUAUUUGCCAGCGCCGUAUGGCGGACCUAAGAAACUUUCCGUUACAAACGAGAGGGGGGACGACCGUCAGUCAUCAUGGCGUACCGGAUAGGGCUACACACGUGUCCUACAAUUGGCCCGGUACAAAGGGGUGUGCGCGAC